This 229-nucleotide ribosomal RNA is filed under the name uncultured bacterium. Its description in RNAcentral is "partial 16S ribosomal RNA". It matches the Rfam family "Bacterial small subunit ribosomal RNA", at positions 88 to 334 of the family's 1533-position model. The record is from RNAcentral.
UACGUCAGCGGCAGACGGGUGAGUAACGCGUGGGAACGUACCUUUUGGUUCGGAACAACACAGGGAAACUUGUGCUAAUACCGGAUAAGCCCUUACGGGGAAAGAUUUAUCGCCGAAAGAUCGGCCCGCGUCUGAUUAGCUAGUUGGUGAGGUAACGGCUCACCAAGGCGACGAUCAGUAGCUGGUCUGAGAGGAUGAUCAGCCACAUUGGGACUGAGAGACGGCCCAG